ACGAACGCUGGCGGCGUGCCUAAUACCUGCAAGUUGAGCGCUGAAGGUUGGUACUUGUACCAACUGGAUGAGCAGCGAACGGGUGAGUAACGCGUGGGGAAUCUGCCUUUGAGCGGGGGACAACAUUUGGAAACGAAUGCUAAUACCGCAUAAAAACUUUAAACACAAGUUUUCAGUUUGAAAGAUGCAAUUGCAUCACUCAAAGAUGAUCCCGCGUUGUAUUAGCUAGUUGGUGAGGUAAAGGCUCACCAAGGCGAUGAUACAUAGCCGACCUGAGAGGGUGAUCGGCCACAUUGGGACUGAGACACGGCCCAAACUCCUACGGGAGGCAGCAGUAGGGAAUCUUCGGCAAUGGACGAAAGUCUGACCGAGCAACGCCGCGUGAGUGAAGAAGGUUUUCGGAUCGUAAAACUCUGUUGGUAGAGAAGAACGUUGGUGAGAGUGGAAAGCUCAUCAAGUGACGGUAACUACCCAGAAAGGGACGGCUAACUACGUG
RNAcentral lists this ribosomal RNA (496 nucleotides) under uncultured bacterium. Its description in RNAcentral is "partial 16S ribosomal RNA". It matches the Rfam family "Bacterial small subunit ribosomal RNA", at positions 29 to 507 of the family's 1533-position model. The record is from RNAcentral.